This 466-nucleotide ribosomal RNA is filed under the name uncultured bacterium. RNAcentral describes it as "partial 16S ribosomal RNA". It matches the Rfam family "Bacterial small subunit ribosomal RNA", at positions 339 to 795 of the family's 1533-position model. The record is from RNAcentral.
CUACGGGCGGCUCCAGUGGGGAAUAUUGGACAAUGGGGGAAACCCUGAUCCAGCAAUGCCGCGUGUGUGAAGAAGGCCUGCGGGUUGUAAAGCACUUUCGGUUGGGAGGACUGCUUCUAGCACUAAUAUUGUUGGAAGUUGACGUUACCUUCAGAAGAAGCACCGGCUAACUCCGUGCCAGCGAGCCGCGGUAAUACGGAGGGUGCAUGCGUUAAUCGGAAUUACUGGGCGUAAAGCGCGCGUAGGCGGCUAGAUCAGUCGGGUGUGAAAGCCCCGGGCUUAACCUGGGAACUGCAUCCGCUACUGUCUAGCUUGAGUACAGGAGAGGAGAGUGGAAUUCCACAUGUAGCGGUGAAAUGCGUAGAUAUGUGGAGGAACACCAAUGGCGAAGGCAGCUCUCUGGCCUGAUACUGACGCUGAGGUGCGAAAGCGUGGGGAGCAAACGGGAUUAGAUACCCCUGUAGUC